GGAACGCUGGCGGCGUGCUUAAUACAUGCAAGUAGAACGCACAGAUGCACCGUAGUUUAUACACCGUAUUCUGUGAGUUGGAACGGGUGAGUAACGCGUAGGUAACCUGCCUGGUAGCGGGGGAUAACUAUUGGAACGAUAGCUAAUCCGCAUAAGAACAUUUACUGCAUGUAGAUGUUUAAAAGGUGCAAAUGCAUCUACCAGAUGGACUGCGUUGUAUUAGCUAGUAGGUGAGGUAACGGCUCACCUAGGCGACGAUACAUAGCCGACCUGAGAGGGUGAUCGGCCACACUGGGACUGAGACACGGCCCAGACUCCUACGGGAGGCAGCAGUAGGGAAUCUUCGGCAAUGGGGGGAACCCUGACCGAGCAACGCCGCGGAGUGAAGAAGGUUUUCGGAUCGUAAAGCUCUGUUGUUAAGGAAGAACGAGUGUGAGAAUGGAAAGUUCAUACUGUGACGGUACUUAACCAGAAAGGACGGC
This 482-nucleotide ribosomal RNA is filed under the name Streptococcus intermedius. RNAcentral's name for it is "bacterial SSU rRNA". It matches the Rfam family "Bacterial small subunit ribosomal RNA", at positions 31 to 497 of the family's 1533-position model. The record is from RNAcentral. Lineage: Bacteria; Bacillati; Bacillota; Bacilli; Lactobacillales; Streptococcaceae.